AGUGUUACUUAGUACUGUAUUUCUAAGGAAACCAAGCUUGCUGAUGGGACAGAACAGGGAGACAAUUUUCAACGUCAUUUUCCUCUAACUGUGUGGUCUCUCUCACAGGUAUACAAGGACCCCAGAACCUUAACACAAUUAUGAGGUGGAAGAAAUGGGGAACACCAGGCCUGGCCUCAUGGAGACUGGGGAGUCAGAACCUGAGCUCUGGCUCCUGGAGCUGCUGUGAGUGAGCGGUGGAAACCUGUCCCUUAGAGAAGCUGCAGCUGAUCAGCAUCAUGCAAGGGACUCCUGAGAUGGUAGCAUGCUGCAUAGGAACCAGCUACAGAAUUUGCAAGUGGAGAAUCCAGUGGGUAGGCCUUCUCCAAUCAGGCCUUAAGAGCAAAGACCAUGGUUUCUCAAAGAAAGAAUUUUCCUCAAGACUGCAACAUAGAGACCUUGCCUGAGUUUCCAGCCUGAUACCCUGCAGAAUUUGGACUCAAGACUGCAAUAUCAGCUCUUUCCUGAAUUUCUAGCCUGCUGGCCUGCCCUACAGAUUUUAGAUCUCCCAGCCCAAUUACAUGAGCUAAUUCCUUAAAAUAAAUAAAUCUCUGUGUGCGUA
Molecule: long non-coding RNA, 601 nt
Organism: Pongo pygmaeus (Bornean orangutan)
Lineage: Eukaryota; Metazoa; Chordata; Mammalia; Primates; Hominidae
Exons: 5
Source: RefSeq, a predicted model, not a curated record